CAAGGUUUCCGUAGGUGAACCUGGGGAGGGAUCAUUG
RNAcentral lists this ribosomal RNA (37 nucleotides) under Eucalyptus famelica. RNAcentral's name for it is "partial 18S ribosomal RNA". Lineage: Eukaryota; Viridiplantae; Streptophyta; Magnoliopsida; Myrtales; Myrtaceae. The record is from RNAcentral.